Molecule: ribosomal RNA, 2341 nt
Filed under: Butyricicoccus sp. 1XD8-22
Lineage: Bacteria; Bacillati; Bacillota; Clostridia; Eubacteriales; Butyricicoccaceae
Description: bacterial LSU rRNA
Rfam family: Bacterial large subunit ribosomal RNA
Source: RNAcentral
AGAUUAAGUUACAAAGGGCGCACGGUGGAUGCCUUGGCACUAGGAGCCGACGAAGGACGGAACGAACACCGAUAUGCUCUGGGGAGCUGUAAGCAAGCGUAGAUCCAGAGAUUUCCGAAUGGGGGAACCCACUGCCAGUAAUGGGGCAGUAUCCUGUACUGAAUACAUAGGUGCAGGAAGGCAGACCCGGGGAACUGAAACAUCUUAGUACCCGGAGGAAGAGAAAGAAAAAUCGAUUCCCUGAGUAGCGGCGAGCGAAACGGGAAGAGCCCAAACCAGAAGGCUUGCCUUCUGGGGUUGUAGGACACUCUAUACGGAGUUACAAAGGAAUGUGGUAGAUGAAGCGGUCUGGAAAGGCCCGCCAAAGAAGGUAACAGCCCUGUAAUUGACACUUCAUUCCCUCCAGAGUGGAUCCUGAGUACGGCGGGACACGAGGAAUCCCGUCGGAAUCCGGGAGGACCAUCUCCCAAGGCUAAAUACUCCCUAGUGACCGAUAGUGAACCAGUACCGUGAGGGAAAGGUGAAAAGCACCCCGGGAGGGGAGUGAAAUAGAUCCUGAAACCGUGUGCCUACAAGUAGUCAGAGCACAAUAAGUGUGAUGGCGUGCCUUUUGUAGAAUGAACCGGCGAGUUGCGAUUUCAUGCAAGGUUAAGCUGAAGAAGCGGAGCCGCAGCGAAAGCGAGUCUGAAUAGGGCGAAAGAGUAUGAGGUCGCAGACCCGAAACCAGGUGAUCUACCCAUGUCCAGGGUGAAGGUCAGGUAACACUGACUGGAGGCCCGAACCCACGUAUGUUGAAAAAUGCGGGGAUGAGGUGUGGGUAGGGGUGAAAUUCCAAUCGAACCUGGAGAUAGCUGGUUCUCUCCGAAAUAGCUUUAGGGCUAGCCUCAAGGCAAGAGUACCGGAGGUAGAGCACUGUUUGGACUAGGGGCCCUCAUCGGGUUACCGAAUUCAGACAAACUCCGAAUGCCGGAUACUCAUCCUUGGGAGUCAGACUGCGAGUGAUAAGAUCCGUAGUCGAGAGGGAAACAACCCAGACCACCAGCUAAGGUCCCCAAGUAUACGUUAAGUGGAAAAGGAUGUGGAGUUGCUUAGACAACCAGGAUGUUGGCUUAGAAGCAGCCACCAUUCAAAGAGUGCGUAAUAGCUCACUGGUCGAGUGACUCUGCGCCGAAAAUGUACCGGGGCUAAACGUAUCACCGAAGCUGUGGAUUGUCUUAGACAAUGGUAGGAGAGCGUUCCAAGUGCAGAGAAGUCAUUUUGUAAGAAAUGGUGGAGCGCUUGGAAGUGAGAAUGCCGGUAUGAGUAGCGAAAGAAGGGUGAGAAUCCCUUCCACCGAAUGCCUAAGGUUUCCUGAGGAAGGCUCGUCCGCUCAGGGUUAGUCGGGACCUAAGCCGAGGCCGAAAGGCGUAGGCGAUGGACAACAGGUUGAUAUUCCUGUACCGCCUCGUUUCCGUUUGAGUGAAGGGGGGACGCAGGAGGAUAGGGUAAGCGCACGACUGGAUUGUGCGUCCAAGCAGUAAGGCUGGCAAGUAGGCAAAUCCGCUUGCCGUAAGGCUGAGCUGUGAUGGCGAGGGAAAUAAAGUACCGAAGUUCCUGAUUCCACACUGCCAAGAAAAGCCUCUAGCGAGGAAACAGGCGCCCGUACCGCAAACCGACACAGGUAGGCGAGGAGAGAAUCCUAAGGUGAUCGAGAGAACUCUCGUUAAGGAACUCGGCAAAAUGACCCCGUAACUUCGGGAGAAGGGGUGCUCCUGCGGGUGCAAGCCUGCGGGAGCCGCAGUGAAUAGGCCCAGGCGACUGUUUAGCAAAAACACAGGUCUCUGCGAAGCCGCAAGGCGAAGUAUAGGGGCUGACGCCUGCCCGGUGCUGGAAGGUUAAGAGGAGCGCUUAGACUUAGUCGAAGGUGCGAAUUGAAGCCCCAGUAAACGGCGGCCGUAACUAUAACGGUCCUAAGGUAGCGAAAUUCCUUGUCGGGUAAGUUCCGACCCGCACGAAAGGCGCAACGAUCUGGGCACUGUCUCAACGAGAGACUCGGUGAAAUUAUAGUAUGCGUGAAGAUGCGCAUUACCCGCGACAGGACGGAAAGACCCCGUGGAGCUUUACUGCACCCUGAUAUUGACUGUCUGUGCAGCUUGUACAGGAUAGGUAGGAGCCUUGGAAGCCGGAGCGCUAGCUUCGGUGGAGGCACUGGUGGGAUACUACCCUGGCUGUAUGGACCGUCUAACCCGCGACCCUGAUCGGGUUGGGAGACAGUGUCAGGCAGGCAGUUUGACUGGGGCGGUCGCCUCCUAAAAGGUAACGGAGGCGCCCAAAGGUUCCCUCAGAAUGGUUGGAAAUCAUU